AACGAACGCUGGCGGCAGGCUUAACACAUGCAAGUCGAACGCACUGCAAGGUGAGUGGCAGACGGGUGAGGAACACGUGGGAACAUCCCCUUCAGUUCGGAAUAACUCAGGGAAACUUGAGCUAAUACCGGAUACGUCCGUGAGGAGAAAGAUUUAUCGCUGAAGGAAUGGCCCGCGUCUGAUUAGCUAGUUGGUGAGGUAACGGCUCACCAAGGCUACGAUCAGUAGCUGAUCUGAGAGGAUGAUCAGCCACAUUGGGACUGAGACACGGCCCAAACUCCUACGGGAGGCAGCAGUGGGGAAUAUUGGACAAUGGGCGCAAGCCUGAUCCAGCCAUGCCGCGUGAGUGAUGAAGGCCUUCGGGUUGUAAAGCUCUUUUGUCCGGGAAGAUAAUGACUGUACCGGAAGAAUAAGCCCCGGCAAACUUCGUGCCAGCCGCCGCAGUAA
This 447-nucleotide ribosomal RNA is filed under the name uncultured bacterium. RNAcentral's name for it is "partial 16S ribosomal RNA". It matches the Rfam family "Bacterial small subunit ribosomal RNA", at positions 29 to 523 of the family's 1533-position model. The record is from RNAcentral.